This is a long non-coding RNA of Brassica oleracea var. oleracea, 988 nucleotides long. RefSeq lists it as uncharacterized. The transcript has 3 exons. NCBI's taxonomy places the organism in Eukaryota, Viridiplantae, Streptophyta, Magnoliopsida, Brassicales, Brassicaceae. The record is from RefSeq and is a predicted model, not a curated record.
CGGCGUGACGAUUCGGUUCGUUGAGGGUUUCGAUCAUGUCCUUGCACCUUCUUCCAUCAAUCGAAAUGAUCGAAACGAAAUUCUUCCAGAUCCAUCGGGUAUAAAAAGGUAUGAUUUCCUUCACUCCAAAUCAUCUACUACAUCUUUGAAUCACUUUUGCAAUCAAUCUUUAGGAAGAUCGUCAAAGGAUUCUGACAUGGUGGAGAUCGCUCCUCCUGCGUUUGCUUCGGUUCGACAACUCUAGAAAUCCAAAAAGAAACAGAGCUUCUCAAACUUGGGAGUGUAGGCUUCCAUGGAGGUAACGUGACUGUAGAUCGGAAUGACAUAAACAGAUGCUGGAGCGCUCCCCUAAAGAGUUGGACAACCCUUGAGUCAGUUAAUGUGCACAUUAAGAUAAUGCAAAGGUGAAUGUCUGAAGCUCAGUCUUCGGUUGCAAAAGCUGAGGAAGAUAAUGAUGAAAAGUAUGAACCAUCAUCUCAGGCUCUCAGCUAUCACAUUGCUUCUCAGGUCUUUCUCUGACUCUCUUUCUCUAUAUUUCUAAUUGUCCCAAAACUUUUACGUAAGAUAGACGAUGCUAUAUAUAGGAGAUUCACUAAUUUUCUUGGUGCAUCUUUGAAGAAUCUUCUGAACAUAUGUGUCUGUAUAUACUUCUACAAUGUUUAGUCUAAUGAUGGUCUUAAUUAGCGAACAUACUUUUUUCUGGGAUUACAAAACUUGAAUUCCUAAAAUCUAUCUUCACUUUAAACUUGUGAAGAGUAUCACUCUAAACGACGUAUUUUAUUUAUCGUUGUAGUACAUGGGAUUUCCAUUACGUCUGGUUUCAACCGCUCCCUCUCUAUGUGAUCUAGCUAGCAUAUAUGUGUCGUAGCUGUAAUGUAUUGUAUGAUCUCUCAAAAAAAUUCUGUAUUAAUUGACUUCACGUAUGGAAAAGAAUGUUGUUAUUAGAUGAGAACAUGUUAGUGUAAAUUUGGUUUCACCUGUGACUUCA